This 8288-nucleotide small RNA is filed under the name Pyricularia oryzae. Its description in RNAcentral is "Magnaporthe oryzae sRNA M_BR32_EuGene_00075011". Lineage: Eukaryota; Fungi; Ascomycota; Sordariomycetes; Magnaporthales; Pyriculariaceae. The record is from RNAcentral.
UUCCUAUUGAAUUAUUCAAAGGAGAAGAAGCAUAGGAUUGUAAUUAUAGGCUAUAAAAAUAAGCAAAAGAUGUACUGACAAUGUACUCUAAGCUCAUUGUUUAACAGGUGUAAAACACGAUAAUUAAAAUGAGCAAGUUUAGGUGUGAGAUUGUGGCAUACGUGUGGCAUUUCUAUUUUACUGUACUAGCCUAGACCCGAGCUAUACGUAAGUUACUAGAACUCAAUUGUCUCCAUAACAGGACAAUAUCUGCGCCGAAUCUCGACACGCAAAAUUUCCUUUUUUGGAUGCGCCCCUGAAUCUGCACUGAGCCGCCCUGAACUGGCCUGAGUCUACCCUGAACUGCACUGAAUUGCACUGAGCCGCCCUAAGUUUACCCUGAGCCGCACUGAACUGCAUUAAGCCGCCCUGAAUUGGCCUGAGUUUACCCUGAAUUGCACUGAAUUGCACUAAACCGCCCUAAAUUUACCCUGAGCCGCACUAAACAGGCCUGAAUUUACCCUGAAUUGCACUGAAUUGCACUGAGCCGCCCUAAAUUUACCCUGAACCGCAUUGAAUUUGCACUGAGCCGCCCCGAAUUGCAUUAAACUGUUAUUAUCCUAUUUUGGGUUAUCAGCCCUGUGCCACAUUUUGUGGUGGUCCAUUUUCGGAAUUCCUAAACAUUUUUUUCAGCGUACAAUAAUGCAAAAUAACAAAACUGAGACGAAAAAACAAAUUAUUAGGUUAAAACUAUUAUAUUUCCACAUUAUUUCUUAUUUACGUUUGCGAUAUGCUUUAAAUCGUAAUUACGGAAUUUUAACCAUGAAUUUUUUGGUUUUAAUUUUAUACCGACCUAGGUAAUAAUAAGAUACGCUAUUAAUUAAAAGUUUUAAUUUGUCGCCCAGAUUGUUUUUUAGCAACGUAUUGUAAAUUUCCCUUUUAAAUUUCUUUUGCUAUAUAAUUUUAGGUUGCCGUUAUUAAAUAACUAAAGGGUAAGUGUUACCUGAGUUUUUGGCGCAAUCGCCAAAUUCCAUUUUUGGGCUUUCGGUUAAAAUUGCCCAACCAAAAACGGGCAUGUCCAGAAACUGGGUAGGGCUUGGCCCAAUUUCGGCCUGGCCCAAUUUCGGCCUUUCCGUGUUCCAAGUUCAUUUUUUUGGAAUCCUAGUUUUAGACCUUCCAAUAUUCCAGGUAUCCCAAUAUUUGACGAUUUUGUCGACAAAAGUCCAGGUUAACAGCAAAUUGUUUUUGGGUUUGUGGGGUCCAGUAAUAAGUUCCAAUUUCAAUUGCCUGGCCACCUUUUCGCCCCAAUUUUAAAAUUUAUAUAUUUUAUAAUUUGCCUGAUGUCGCCUGUCCUAAUUUUUUCUCAAUAUCGCCAUAAACCAAUUUAAAGGCCAAAAUAAAUUUUAAUAAUUAAAUUUUUGCUUACCCGGAUUUCCGCUAAAUAGCAGCGGGCAAAAGGGCCCGAAAACACCCCUAAUAUUAUAACCGGGACGGUACCAGGGAAAGAAGGUAGGAGUUUGCCGACAAAACCCAGGACUCCAUAAGGAUGGAAUCGGGUAACCAUACGUUAUUACCAAGGUAUAAUAUCGAAUAAUUUUUUAAAAUUAGAACUAACGCCAAAAGCAAGUUACGUUAAAUAAUCUGUAAAGAUUAAAAAAAAUCACAUUUGGGCCACAGGCUAGAUAAACAAACUUACUACCGUAUAAAUAAUUAAAUUUACUUUAGGAUUAACCUCGAUAUUUACUGUACUUGAGACCGAUUAUAAUUUCACCCCAGUUAUCGAGAACCUCCAGUUACAAUAUUGACGUUCAUUUGCUUUUAGCAAUCGUACCCUUACCCUUAGGAACAGACUACCCCGAUACCUUUAUCGUAGCACCGAGGCCUACGUAGGACUACGCGAAACUAUUGUAAACAGGUUUGAGCAUACUGGUCACAUUUCGGGAUAAUUUAAUAUUUUCGAUUUACAAAAUUCCAGAUUGUUUUGGAUCGAAAAGGGGAACGGUAUGCCUAAAUUCAAAUUUCGUUUUUUUGCUAUGCAAAGGAUGCGAAAAAAUGUACAAAUUUCAUUUUGCAAACGUCCAUGCAAUAUCUUAGGGGUUUGGUGGGCUUAUUUCGGCUUAAUUUUUAUAUUAAUGCCAAACCUUUCCUCAAAUGGUAAUAGUUUCGUAAUAAACAAAACUAAUUGCCUGUUUAAGGUAUAUAAUACGAAUACCAUGCGUAACGACGGAUUUUAAUCGCUGGUUUUCAUCCCGGUUCCCUUAAAAAAUUACCACGCCAGUUUUAUCUGCUUAUUCGUUUAUCUAUUUCGCAAUCCCUUUCAUCCGGGAGGCCUUCUACAAUUAUACCGCUAUUAAAUCUUUUUUCCAAAAACGGCAUUAGUCCGUCACCAAAAUAUAAUUAUAGGGUAAAUUAAGUCCAAUAAUACAGUUAAACUAACCAAUUAUUAUACGAUUAUAUAUAAUUAAACUAAAUAUUGGCAAUACCGAAAUAAAUUAAAAAGGCAGGCGAGGCAGAUUUAAUACCCAUUAGGUAUAAAAUAUCGAGUUUCAGGAGAAUCAAAGGUUAAAUUUUGCGAAUAAAAAGAAAUUGUAAAUUUAAAUCCGCCUCGUUAAACCAAUUUCUAAUUACGUUCUUUUAUAAAUUGUCGAAAUUAAUACCCCUGCUCCGAAAAUAUAAUAUUAAAGUGAUAAAUUGGUUAGCCCUAAAUUCGUUUAGUUUAGUUCUGCCCUAAUAUUAUGGGAGGCCUCCUUUAUAUUGCCGCAAACUGCAGUGCUACUUUUUUUUAUCCGGACAGGUGUUAUAAUUCGGCAAGACGGCCAGCAGGAGAAUAUUAUUUUUCGAUAAUAGCCGAAAUCUUCCCCUUUUUAUACCCAUUUAAUUCUUUAGUUUGACAAAUGGAGGCCAUAUAGUUUUUCAGGGGUAUUUCCACUUAUUAGGUAAUGCUAUAUGGAUUUAACGCGUAUAAAAAUAAAACUAUGUCAAAUUCGGGGUUUGCUAAACGAUCGAAUAAAUUGUCCAUUAAUAUUAACCUUUCCUUUUGUUUUUCAGCCUGCCGUCACCCAUAGCAUUUAAACUCCCUUUAUCGCAAAUUUAAAACUAAAAUAUCGAAACGAUCGAUCGGUCGGGCGUUACAAUUAAUUAGGUGGACGAAAAAGACGAUUCGUGGUAUCGCACAAUAACGUAACGACGAUUUUCGAUAUUAUUACCUGCACCGCAUUUUACAAUACCAGUCGUGUCGGCUUGUUUUUACCGGGGGCCCGGCUGCGACAGGCGGGCUGGGUAUCGAUUUCGAGGUUAAUUUCCGAAAGAUAACUUCUGAUAAAAAUUACGAAGUUCGGUUACGGGAAACGACAAUUAGCAGAUCGUUCCAAUAUCCGCAAAAGAUAUAUCGUAUUACGGCGAACAUAGGUCCCGUACCAAUAAAAAUAUACCGUUCGACCGGGUAAUAAACGAGGGCAAAUGUAUGGUUAUUUACCAUGGCGGCGACAACUAUGUAAUAUAACCGCCAAAUAAUUCCAAGGAAAAGGUUUUGUGGUUGGCCAAACUGGGCGCACCUCGCCGUCGAACCCCGUUACCCCUUCUGAGGGCUUUGCUUCUAUUUCUGCAAAAGCAAUUUAAUUUGCUUAUUCCAGUAUUAGGCGUUUUUCCAUUUCCUUUUUCAUUUUCGAAACCUUGUUUUCCACAUUUUGCUAAUUCCAUUAUUAAAAUCGACACCCUUUUAGAACCCAUUCCAAACCCCAUUAAAUUGCAAUGGUAUUUUUAAAGCAAUUCCAAGCCCCUGAAAUAUAUAUUAUCGGGUGGAUUGUUAUUUUUAACAAGGAGUUUACCGCAACACAGUCCGUAUUUAAUAAAAAAUAUCGAAGGUCGGCAAAUUUUAAAAAGCAACCCAAAAAUACCAAUAAUUAUACCUGGGAUCGGAUCGGAAAUUAUAAUAUUAUUAUUGCAUUUUUAGCUGUUGGCAAAAUUGGUACCGUAUCCGCAACGACGACCGCGAUAAACAUAAUUAAUUCUUUUCCAUACCUUCGUUUCGGUUUAAUAGUCGGCAUCGGUACCGGGGUUUUUAGGUUGGCGGAAAAUAUUAAUGUUCGUUUUGGCGACGUCGUCGUCAACCAGCCUACUGGUGCAAACCCGGGAGUCGUGCAGUACGAUUUGGGGAAAUUGGGAAAAGAUGGCCAAUUUAAACAAAUCGGCGUUUUUGCCCCUCCACCAGAGGUCCUUUUUAAGGGAUAGGCAACGUUAAAAGCCAUUUAAAAACGGAAAAAAAUUCGGUUAACCGCCAUUUUGGACGAAACGAUACAGUUUUAUCCACGUUUGGUAAAACCAGAUUUGGGUAAUGCUAUUUUCGUCCAUUAAAAAGCGCAAAACGACCGUUUUUUCGAAACAUCCUCGGAGCAUAUUUAGCAUUCUAAUUACCAAGUCGGUCCUCAGAAGGCCAUAACUCCGCAGGACCCCAGCGAUUAAAUUAUAAGCCAAGCCAAAGUCUGCGCGUAUUGCGAUUAUCGGAAAAAAGUGAAGAGACCAGAAAGACGGUCCACUGAGCCCAAGAUCCAUUAUGGCGUUAUUACUUCCGGCAACUGGGUCGUUAAGGACGGCAUUUUUCGGGAUCAAAUAGCCACGAAUGCACCACCACCAUUGUUAAUACCCAUUACAAUUUAGGCUUGAAAAACGACGAAUGUGCGCGCAUGUCUCCGUUAACUAACUUUUUGGUAGGACGUAAUUAUUCUACCAUUUACAUACGUUACCCCCAACAAGCCACGCUAGGGGGUAAGGCCAACCAGCGAUUAAAAAAUGCUGGAGCGGAGACAGUUGCAUUCUGUCGACCGCUCACAGCCCAAACAGCGCACUAUUAGUUAAAUGGUCAAUUAUUAUUCCCUAAUUAAAUAUGCUACCAUUAUAUAGGAGGCCCUCCAUAUGCAAAGGCUAGGAAAAAUGCUCUGUUGCGGACCAUUAACCAAGAUUCCUGUUUAUUAACCAUGUCCGAAGCCCACGGUUGCAUGUUUAGAAAUUGCUAAUAUUAUACGGGAAACCUGCUGUUUUCCUGCCAUUAUAUCUUACAAACAAUGGUUUCGAUGGUUAUCGUUUAUAUAAUUACGAAAAAACAUUUGAAAUACAGCAGGCCAGCCCUCCAUAUAUAUAGCCAAAAGCGGGCGCGGUAAUUUGUGGUUGAAAACGCGCUGGAAUGGCCGCAUAAUGCAAUUAAAGAGCAAUAUUGCAGAAAUUAUGCGCCCAUAGGCGAACUGACGAGGUAUUAAUUAAUGCGUUGUAUUACGCCCUGUCGUUUCGCAAAAGAUGCCCGCCCAAAAGCUAUUAGCUCCAGGAAAGGACGGCCUCCUGUAUAAAAGGAAAUAAUAUUUUAACUGGCUGGCUAAUAAUAUAUUAAUAUAAUAAACUGUAUAUAGGUGUUUUUAAAAAUAUAUAAUUAUUUAUUGUGGGAAAGACAAAAAUAUAUAAAGGCAAUUAUAACGCCCCUUUCCAUACCCUUACCAUAUUAUUGCCUGUUCGCGAGCGUCGAUUUGCACCCUUUCCCGCAUAAAAAAUAUACGUCUAGUAAAAUCCCCAGGCCUAGCCAAACUAAUAAUAUAAACCACAAUAUAAUUAAUUAAAAUUUCCCUUUAUCCGCCGUGUUUUCUUCUCUAAUAACAAAUUACGUAAUUCUUUCGCGCAAAUUUCGCGCCACAUAUAGGAUAUUUUCCCCCAAUAUUAGAAUAUUUGUUUUUAACCGCCCAUAUCCUGUAAAUAUUCCAAACGUAACGUUUUUUUUCUUUCCCAUUUUCCGUCCCUUCCCAUAAAUAAUCCCCUUUAGGAUAUUUUCGAUAUUGGCGCAUAUGCGUCCUAUAUAAUAGGUAUAGGAAGGUUAUAAUAAUUAUUAUAAAUGAGAAAAUUAAAAGAAUUAAUUUGAAUUGAACUUAUUCCAAUUUAUUUAAAAUUGCGGCGUUAUAUCGGCAAUUUUUCCAAUUGUAACGAAGGCGAAUUUUUUGUUUUGCUGGUUGUUUUCCAAAGGCAUUUUUAAUAGGAGCAAAAUAUUAAAAAAGUUUGUAACGAGUUAGGAAAAGACAAUUGUCUAAUUUCACCAGGCUGUCAGCGAUACUUUUUAAUAAAUUUAAAUUUGUUAUUUUCCGGUACCGUUUACACCGAUUAUUUAUUAAAGGCCAUGGGAUCCUAAUAAAAUCUUUGCAAUUUAUUAGCGGUUUAAGUUUUUUGGGAUGGUGUGGAGGAAUUCUUUCGGUUAAAUAUUGCUGGGUUAACCCCCCAAAUAUUGUCGGUAAAUAACGGCGCUGGAAUCGGCUUUUUAAAAGAUUCGAUAUUGGGCAAAAGCUGAUUUUUUCCUUUCCAAACAUGGUUUUUAAACAGCCUUUUUUUCUGGUCUUUAUUUUCCCAGAGCGGAGGGUCUUCGGCUCCUAUGCGGAAUUCUGUCCCAAGUUUAAAAGUUAUAAUAUGAAAAGUGGUUCAAUAUAUCGAAGUAAUGUGGGGUGGGGGGAGUUCCGCAGUUAUAACCCGUCGCCUAAGUGUUGAAACAAUAGAGCAUAUAUUAUUUUAAAAUUAAAAUUUAAAUAAAAUUUGCCGGUUUUUCAACAUGGUGGAAAUUUUCCCUAAUUAUAAUUGGGGAGCAAUUAACCGUUAAACUUUUAGGGCCAGGUAUAUAACGUAUACAAAUACCUAAGGGGUAUAUAAAAGUUAUAUAUAUUAUAUAUAUAUUUCUGUUUGUCCAAUAGGAUUAUUGGAUUAAUUAUUGCUAUUUUCAAAGCACGCCUUAUUUCUGGUGCAUUAAUUAAUUAUAUAUGCAAAUAUUAAUUGUGGAGUGCAGGUAGAUUGGACACCCAAAACCUCCACCGUCGUCCAAUUAAAAGUGUCCGGCCUCCUGUAUAUCGACGGACAACGCUUGUUCUGCUAUUUCGAGACCUCUUUAGUUUUAUUUCCCUUAAUUUGCAUUUAUUAAAAUCCUGAAAUCGUUUCGAGGCUAUUAGAAAAGGUUUCGUGCAGUUAAACCUGUUAUUAAAAACACAAAAUUUAUAAAUAAUAAAGCAGCGAAACCUUCAAAAAACCCACCGAAAAUAUAAAUUAUAUUAGGAGCGCAUUGGCUUAUUGGCGCUGCCCACAAACGCUUUGUUAUUAUUAUAUGCCUGCUAUAUUUAAUCGAUUAUAUAUAAGGCCAGCCAACAAUAUAUAAUCUGGAUUUGCAUCCGCAUAAUAGCAAUUGGAGAUUUGAAAAACUUCGGAAAAAAUCUUAGAUUUAUUUGCCCUAAUAUACUUUAUUUUAAAAAUAAGUGGAAAUAUAAUUUUAGUAGUUUGUUUGGAAUAAGGCCAUCCGAGUGGGAAUGUUUUGCGUCUCGCGCGGAAUUUUAGCGUCCCUCCCGACCUUAUCGACCAGUUUUAGCAAAUUCUUAAUAAUUUAACCGCUGUUAUUUUAAAAGGUAAAUAACCGCAAUUAUCUUAUGGUUUAUAAACUGCUGAAAUUAAUAUAUUUGUAGAAAAGUUAAUAAAAGACGGGGAAUUUGAAAUUUUGUUUAAAAUUAUUAAGUUAAUUAGUAAUAAAAUUUGGUCCUUUUUGGAGCAGUUUCGUAAUCCAGAAAUAUACGUUAUUGUCCGACGAAAAAUCUCUGCUUUAAGGACGGACGAAACGUACCUGGAUAACGGCAAAAAAGCAGAUUUUCAACAGUGGAUUACUAUUUUUCCUUUUAUAAUAUUAUUAAAAUCUAAUGCAACGCCUGUUUAAUUUGUUCCGUAUAUAAUAUAGGCGGCCCAAACGCGAUGGAAAUAUUUAAAACGGAUAAAAUUAUUAUUUUAUUCCGAAAAGGAAGAGAUGCUUUUAUAAAUUAAAUAUAUAUACAAAUUCGCGCGAUAUUAUUUAGUAACGAAAAUUAUAAUUAAAUUCGCCACCAGACAGCCUAAUAUUUUCACAUCCAUUUACGUUAAAGUUGUGGAAAUUCCAGAACAGCAGCGUUUUUCUUUGGGCAACGAUAUUACGGCCUUUAAUAUAAUGUUUCAAAAAUUAACUAAAACAAAUUUUGGAUUAUUCGUCGAAAGAUUUGGCCAGAUUUGGUUUACGGAUAAUCCGGAGGCUCGAUUUCGCAAAACGUGCCGUUUUAAUUUUACAAUCCAUGCAGAAAUGCAAUUUCUCACUUUUUACAAUUAUUACCCAUAUUUUACACCACGCCUUUUAUUUAUGGGUAUAAAUAAAAAGGUUUGCUUCCUUUGUUAUAAUUUCUUAUCCCGGCACCCAUUUGCGAUUGGGGUGUUAACCAAUUAUUAAAAACUUUAUCCGAUUUAAAUGCCAGUUCCAUAUUCGUCUUCGGUACGGAAAAAAUAUA